Molecule: transfer RNA, 96 nt
Filed under: Actinocatenispora thailandica
Lineage: Bacteria; Bacillati; Actinomycetota; Actinomycetes; Micromonosporales; Micromonosporaceae
Description: tRNA-Gly
Source: RNAcentral
GCAGCCCGUCGACGAGUUGCGCGGUGUCGUCGGCGCUGCCGUCGUCGACCGCGACGACCUCGUAGUCGGCGGUGAUCGCAUCCAACGCGGGCCGCA